RNAcentral lists this long non-coding RNA (249 nucleotides) under Carica papaya (papaya). RNAcentral's name for it is "long non-coding RNA (CPAP_LNC008989)". Lineage: Eukaryota; Viridiplantae; Streptophyta; Magnoliopsida; Brassicales; Caricaceae. The record is from RNAcentral.
UAUCCAUAGGUUGUAAACACAAAUACAUUUUGAGUUGAGAAUAAAAGUGAAAACUUAGGAUUUUCUGCUUCAUUUAGCAUUUUACUAACAUUUUUACCUUCUUCAAGUUCUUCAAGAAAUAAAAGUCUUUAGAAAUCUAUUUGAGCCAAGGAGCGGGGGAUCAACUUAUUGGUAAGUCUGUGGCAUUUUUACUUUCCUUGUCUUUAUUUUCCCUACUUCUUGUUUAUGCAUGCCUAUUAGGCAUAGUAG